RNAcentral lists this ribosomal RNA (446 nucleotides) under uncultured bacterium. RNAcentral describes it as "partial 16S ribosomal RNA". It matches the Rfam family "Bacterial small subunit ribosomal RNA", at positions 354 to 796 of the family's 1533-position model. The record is from RNAcentral.
GUAAGGAAUAUUGGUCAAUGGGGGCAACCCUGAACCAGCCAUGCCGCGUGAAGGAUGAAGGCGUUAUGCGUUGUAAACUUCUUUUGUAUGGGAAGAAUGACAGGGAUUUAUCCUUGGAGAGACGGUACCAUACGAAUAAGCACCGGCUAACUCCGUGCCAGCAGCCGCGGUAAUACGGAGGGUGCAAGCGUUAUCCGGAAUCACUGGGUUUAAAGGGUCCGCAGGCGGGCUAUCAAGUCAGAGGUGAAAUCCCACAGCUUAACUGUGGAACUGCCUUUGAAACUGAUGGUCUUGAAUUAAGUGGGCGUUGGCGGAAUAUGACAUGUAGCGGUGAAAUGCAUAGAUAUGUCAUGGAACACCGAAAGCGAAGGCAGCUAACGAUACUUAUAUUGACGCUCAUGGACGAAAGCGUGGGUAGCGAACAGGAUUAGAUACCCCAGUAGUCC